This 77-nucleotide transfer RNA is filed under the name Clostridiales bacterium. Its description in RNAcentral is "tRNA-Arg". It matches the Rfam family "tRNA". From Rfam's summary of the family: Transfer RNA (tRNA) molecules are approximately 80 nucleotides in length. Their secondary structure includes four short double-helical elements and three loops (D, anti-codon, and T loops). RNAcentral also lists the same sequence under 1 other name. The record is from RNAcentral. Lineage: Bacteria; Bacillati; Bacillota; Clostridia; Eubacteriales.
GCGCCCAUAGCUCAGCUGGAUAGAGUGACAGACUUCGAAUCUGGAGGCCGCAGGUUCGAAUCCUGCUGGGCGCACCA